Triticum aestivum (bread wheat) is the source of this 744-nucleotide long non-coding RNA. RefSeq lists it as uncharacterized. The transcript has 2 exons. The record is from RefSeq and is a predicted model, not a curated record. Lineage: Eukaryota; Viridiplantae; Streptophyta; Magnoliopsida; Poales; Poaceae.
UUUGCGUUCCUUCUCCUCCACUCCUUCCUUGGCCUGUUUCUCUGCCCAUUUCUUCCGGCGAGCGAGCGCCCCUUGGUGCUUCCUAUUCCUUUUUAGUUUCGUUCAUAAACGCACAGAGAGCAAGAAACAUACAGCCAUGAUUCUCCUCCUCCUCUAACUCCCUUGAUCUUAGACCAUUUCCAAAACCGGAGAUAUCUAGGCGUGCGCCUCUACUUCCUCUUCCAAUCCCCUGGCAACUCAUGCCCUCUCUCUUCCUCCUCUGCCCAAGAACACUCGUUGAACUUUUGAAGCUCCAUGGAUGCAAGGUUUAGAUCCCGAUGACUCGGACCAUCUCUAUCUGAAUCCUUGUGCCAUAAACUCCUCCUCCAUGCCAUGAUUUCAUUCAGGGAAGAAGGAACGUGAUCCGUCAAGCACACACGAAGAAUUCGGCAUGUCCGCGUACACUGUUCAUCAAGUUCGUCGCACCGUUCCAUCAAACUCGAGUCCCAUGAAGACGAAGGUGAUGUCUAUGACAACUAUGGCGAUCCGUAGGAGUGAGGUCACGUGGACUACAUCGACUGUCUGUGGCUGAGUUGGAGUCACUACGCAUUGUACUUUCUGCUACUUUCUGAUUGUAAUAAAUUUCAUGAGAGUUUCUCUAUGUAUUCCUUGCGGCAAUAUUUAUUAAACUUGUAAUACUUUUACGUAUUGUGCAAUGAUACCAUUUCGCUGUGUUGUCAACAAUGAUCCUGGGGUUGAAAAAUA